This 451-nucleotide ribosomal RNA is filed under the name uncultured bacterium. Its description in RNAcentral is "partial 16S ribosomal RNA". It matches the Rfam family "Bacterial small subunit ribosomal RNA", at positions 29 to 507 of the family's 1533-position model. The record is from RNAcentral.
AGUGAACGCUGGCGGCGUGCCUAAUACAUGCAAGUCGAACGGUAACAGGAAGUAGCUUGCUACUUUGCUGAUUAGUGGCGCACGGGUGAGUAAUGCAUAGGUCAUGUGCCCCAUAGUCUGGGAUAGCCACUGGAAAGGGUGAUUAAUACUGGAUACUCCCGAGAGGGGAAAGUUUUUCGCUAUGGGAUCAGCCUAUGUCCUAUCAGCUUGUUGGUGAGGUAAUGGCUCACCAAGGCUAUGACGGGUAUCCGGCCUGAGAGGGUGAACGGACACACUGGAACUGAGACACAGUCCAGACUCCUACGGGAGGCAGGAGUAGGUAAUAUUGCUCAAUGGGGUAAACCCUGAAGCAGCAACGCCGCGUGGAGGAUGAAGGUCUUCGGAUUGUAAACUCCUUUUCUAAGAGAAGAUUAUGACGGUAUCUUAUGAAUAAGCACCGGCUAACUCCGUG